This 529-nucleotide ribosomal RNA is filed under the name uncultured bacterium. Its description in RNAcentral is "partial 16S ribosomal RNA". It matches the Rfam family "Bacterial small subunit ribosomal RNA", at positions 355 to 874 of the family's 1533-position model. The record is from RNAcentral.
UGGGGAAUAUUGCACAAUGGGCGCAAGCCUGAUGCAGCCAUGCCGCGUGUGUGAAGAAGGCCUUCGGGUUGUAAAGCACUUUCAGCGAGGAGGAAGGUGGUGGACUUAAUACGUUCAUCAAUUGACGUUACUCGCAGAAGAAGCACCGGCUAACUCCGUGCCAGCAGCCGCGGUAAUACGGAGGGUGCAAGCGUUAAUCGGAAUUACUGGGCGUAAAGCGCACGCAGGCGGUUUGUUAAGUCAGAUGUGAAAUCCCCGGGCUCAACCUGGGAACUGCAUUUGAAACUGGCAAGCUAGAGUCUCGUAGAGGGGGGUAGAAUUCCAGGUGUAGCGGUGAAAUGCGUAGAGAUCUGGAGGAAUACCGGUGGCGAAGGCGGCCCCCUGGACGAAGACUGACGCUCAGGUGCGAAAGCGUGGGGAGCAAACAGGAUUAGAUACCCCUGGUAGUCCACGCUGUAAACGAUGUCGAUUUUGGAGGUUGUGCCCUUGAGGCGUGGCUUCCGGAGCUAACGCGUUAAAUCGACCGCCU